CUUCCGCGCUGGGCGGGGAGGUGUCGCCAGCGGGGCGGAGCGGAGCGCAGGAGGAGGAGGAGGAAGAGGAAGAGGAAGGGUCGGGGCGGUAUGGCUCCGCUGGAGACGAGGAGGGACCCGCGCCCGCUCUGCUCCCUGGUGCUGGCUGCUGUGGUGCUGCUUUGCUGGGGCUUCGUCCUCUACGGAGCACGGGUGGCUGCCCAGCGGCAGCUGGAGAGCAGCCUCCUGGCCCGGGGGCUGCCCUAGGCAAUGGCGGAGCCCCUGGGAGUCUUGCCCGGAGCUGGGCGUUGUCCCCGAGGGUACGGAGGGAUUCAUCAGAAGGCUGGAGGAGGAGCGCCGUGGCCAGUUGGGCAAACAAAGCAUAAUUAGCUCUUAGAAAAGAGAAAGUAAAUAAAGCAUAAACGGUUAUUAGGAAAGA
This is a long non-coding RNA of Calidris pugnax (ruff), 418 nucleotides long. RefSeq lists it as uncharacterized. The record is from RefSeq and is a predicted model, not a curated record. The transcript is spliced from 2 exons. NCBI's taxonomy places the organism in Eukaryota, Metazoa, Chordata, Aves, Charadriiformes, Scolopacidae.